This is a long non-coding RNA of Pan paniscus (pygmy chimpanzee), 549 nucleotides long. The record is from Ensembl. NCBI's taxonomy places the organism in Eukaryota, Metazoa, Chordata, Mammalia, Primates, Hominidae.
CUCCAGUUGGCAUGGUGCUUUUCUUCUUGUAACCAAGGUACACUGAGCAUCGUGGUGUCUGUGGGGUGGGGUAAUGAGGCAUAAAGGUCUGCUGUCUAGAGAGUCAGUCCAGCCCUAAUAGAGGGAGGACCCAAAGAGAAGAAGUGUCAUUUGGUGAAGAGAAAGGAACAGACUGCCCAGGGAGCCAAUUACCGGAGCCAGAAGAGGAUGCUCAGCCUAGCAGGGAGACCACAGUCAGGAUGGCAAGAGCCUGCGACAUUGUGGGGAGGUUGUUUGUGCCUCUAAGAUGCAAAGUGACCCAUGACCCAGCCCUGUCUUUUUAGGUGGCAAUUCUUGGCAAUAUUCUUUUCUAAAUACCUCUUGCAGCCAGCCCCUCCUCUCCAAGAUCUGCCUCAACACCUCUCAGCUGGGCUCUGCCUUGUACUUGCUCUGAUUGAAUUGAUUUUUCUCACUUCCAACCUCUCCUCCACAGAGUUGUCAGAAAGCCCUUUGUGGAACCACCUGGGAUUAGGAAGUGCCUCACCUGCAAGGGAGAGAGAGUUUACCUGA